Molecule: small RNA, 283 nt
Filed under: Mycobacterium bohemicum
Lineage: Bacteria; Bacillati; Actinomycetota; Actinomycetes; Mycobacteriales; Mycobacteriaceae
Description: Magnesium sequence
Rfam family: M-box riboswitch aptamer (ykoK leader)
About the family: M-box riboswitch, also know as ykoK leader is described as a metaloregulatory RNA that sense divalent metals and function as a genetic control element of genes related to divalent metal transport in bacteria.
Source: Rfam by way of RNAcentral
CAAGCACCUCGGUAGGUGAGGCGUCUGCAUGGACACAGGCCACUGACCCCGAACGUCGAGAGACGCCCCGGGUCAGGACAGCUCUUCCCGGACCCAAGGGUUGAGCCCAAGUGGCUUCCGGACGAGGAGCGAUCGCAAGCGCGGCGAAGCCGGGCGCAGCGGAUCGCGACAUAGGCCGAGGAGCGAUCGCAAGCGCGGCGAAGCCGGGCGCAACGGAUCGCGACCAUCGGCUACGUCUCGGAUACGCCGUGCAGUGCCGAAGCUCCGACGAGAGGGGUGUCAC